Non-coding RNA from Bos taurus (domestic cattle), 56 nucleotides. NCBI's taxonomy places the organism in Eukaryota, Metazoa, Chordata, Mammalia, Artiodactyla, Bovidae. The record is from Rfam.
UGGCUAAGAGGGUAAAGCGUCUGCCUCCAAUGCAGGAGGCCUGGGUUCGGUCCCUG